RNAcentral lists this non-coding RNA (164 nucleotides) under Fulmarus glacialis (Northern fulmar). RNAcentral describes it as "Eukaryotic large subunit ribosomal RNA". It matches the Rfam family "Eukaryotic large subunit ribosomal RNA", at positions 967 to 1124 of the family's 3401-position model. The record is from Rfam by way of RNAcentral. Lineage: Eukaryota; Metazoa; Chordata; Aves; Procellariiformes; Procellariidae.
UUUCCCUCAGGAUAGCUGGCACUCGGGCAUGGGCAGUUUUACCCGGUAAAGCGAAUGAUUAGAGGUCUUGGGGCCGAAACGAUCUCAACCUAUUCUCAAACUUUCUAUGAGCUAGACUGGGACACGGAGCAUACAGGGUACCGUAAAGACAGUUUUAUGUGCUG